CUUGCACUUGAGAGACUCAGCAAGGAUGAGAAUCAGCACCUCCAAAUCCAAGGCCAUGGUACUGAGGGAAGAUUGCAUCGCUCUUUUCAGAUGGCAAGGAAGCCCACUCUGAGUGAAGCCAUCCAUCCAUCUAUCCAUCCAUCCAUUCAUCCAUUUUCACAAACACAGAGACAUUGUUCAGCCAAUGAGGAUGGUGCAAUACGUCCGGAUGCUUCAGACAAAGGCUUAUAUUUAUUGUGAUAAAUAAUUAAAGAAUAUAUCAAUAGGUCGCAUAUUUAGCAGAUAAUUUUGAAUUACUCAUCAAGCACUUCCCUUGUGGGUUUAUAGCUUAGCUAAGGUUAGAGAGAAAUUUCACCAAGAACAGUCACUUUAAUUGAAACAACUAUGCCUAUAGGAACUACUACUUCGAGAAGUUGGGAGAAGAAUUCAAAACAAAAAGUUUUGCUGCUAGACUAGAGAAAGAAUGUAUUGUUGCUAGACAGAAAGUAACUAUAACUGGAAUUCUCUAUACACAAGAUUUCUUCACAGCAAUAAAGACUCCUUAUUCUCUUAAGGAUUUAGUACUUUGGGGAAAAUGGUGAGUCCCUUAGCCUG
Molecule: long non-coding RNA, 594 nt
Organism: Brienomyrus brachyistius
Lineage: Eukaryota; Metazoa; Chordata; Actinopteri; Osteoglossiformes; Mormyridae
Exons: 3
Source: RefSeq, a predicted model, not a curated record